RNAcentral lists this ribosomal RNA (261 nucleotides) under uncultured bacterium. RNAcentral's name for it is "partial 16S ribosomal RNA". It matches the Rfam family "Bacterial small subunit ribosomal RNA", at positions 793 to 1055 of the family's 1533-position model. The record is from RNAcentral.
GUCCACGCUGUAAACGAUGGCAACUAGAUGUGGGGUGUCGACUCCCCGUCGUCGAAGCUAACGCAUUAAGUUGCCCGCCUGGGGAGUACGGCCGCAAGGCUAAAACUCAAAGGAAUUGACGGGGCCCGCACAAGCAGCGGAGCAUGUGGUUUAAUUCGACGCGACGCGAAGAACCUUACCUGGGCUUGACAUGUGAGUGACCGACGUGGAAAACACGUCUUCCCUUCGGGGCACUUUCACAGGUGGUGCAAUGGCUGUCGU